AUGGCUCGAUGAGCUGCGAAGUAAGUUCUACUCUACUCUCCUCGGAACUCUUUGUGCUUUGCCUUCAUUUUUCUUGCUUGCAUUGUCCUAGACUUGGUUUGCAUCGCUUUGCACUGGGAUUUCUUCUUUCCAUUGUCAUGUUUACAUUGUUCUUGACUUCGUGGCAGAUUCACAGCCUAGAUGGUGAUAGAACUCAUUCUUUUCUUCUUCGCGACGUUGUUUUGUAUCUAUCGAUGCACAGUCUAGUUGAUAUUGAUUUGCUACUUGAAAUUCUAGAGGCCUCUCUGUUUGCAUUAGUAGCCUGGUUUGCAUCGCUUUGUUUUUUUUUUUCUCUCUUUGUCGAUUUUGUUCACGUCGUCAUGUUUACAUUGUUCUUGAUGCACGGCCUAGAUGGUGGUAGAAAUCAUUCUUUUCUUGGUGUUCUUCGCGACGUGGUUUGCUGCCUUUUCAUCAAUGCACAGUCUAGU
This 467-nucleotide long non-coding RNA is filed under the name Selaginella moellendorffii. Its description in RNAcentral is "long non-coding RNA (SMOE_LNC001109)". The record is from RNAcentral. Lineage: Eukaryota; Viridiplantae; Streptophyta; Lycopodiopsida; Selaginellales; Selaginellaceae.